RNAcentral lists this transfer RNA (72 nucleotides) under Eschrichtius robustus (grey whale). Its description in RNAcentral is "tRNA-Glu". The record is from RNAcentral. Lineage: Eukaryota; Metazoa; Chordata; Mammalia; Artiodactyla; Eschrichtiidae.
UUCCCUGACCAGGGAUUGAACCCGGGCCACAGCAGUGAAAGUGCCGUGUCCUAACCACUGGACCACCAGGGA